This is a non-coding RNA of Pelobates cultripes (western spadefoot toad), 242 nucleotides long. Lineage: Eukaryota; Metazoa; Chordata; Amphibia; Anura; Pelobatidae. The record is from the annotation of a GenBank genome assembly.
AGGGACGAUAAUGCAUAUCUGGUGGGAGUGUAGUGCAAUAACCCCAUUCUGGGAUCUGAUCAAACAACGUAUAACAGAUAUACUGGGUGAAGGGACGGAAUGGUCGGCCUCUCUGGCCCUCCUACAUAUAUCGAAGAUGCCGAUAUCUUCCUAUAAGAAAUCAAUUCUCAGACAUCUUUUGAACGCGGCUAAGUCGCUCAUCCCUUUAUAUUGGAAACGGACGGAGAUACCCAAUGAAGAGG